UACGUAGGGGGCGAGCGUUGUCCGAAGUUACUGGGCGUAAAGCGCGCGUAGGCGGGUUGGCAAGUCUGCUGUGAAAGCCCGGGGCUUAACUCCGGAGGGUCGGUGGAUACUGCCAGUCUUGAAGGUGCUAGGGAGAGAUGGAAUUACAGGUGUAGCGGUGAAAUGCGUAGAUAUCUGUAGGAACACCAGUGGCGAAGGCGGUCUCUUGGGGGCAUUCUUGACGCUGAGGCGCGAAAGCUGGGGGGAGCGAACGGGG
Molecule: ribosomal RNA, 256 nt
Filed under: uncultured bacterium
Lineage: Bacteria
Description: partial 16S ribosomal RNA
Rfam family: Bacterial small subunit ribosomal RNA
Source: RNAcentral